Molecule: ribosomal RNA, 93 nt
Filed under: Saimiri boliviensis boliviensis (Bolivian squirrel monkey)
Lineage: Eukaryota; Metazoa; Chordata; Mammalia; Primates; Cebidae
Source: RNAcentral
GUCUCCGCCCAUACCACCUUGAACGUACCCAAUCUUGCUGAUCUUAGAAGUUAAUCAGUGCGGGGUCCGAUUAGUCAGUUUUUGGGUGAGAAG